AUGCAGAAAUGUAUACAUACUAGCAAAGAAACGAUCAUUUCUAAAAUGUUAUCUGUUUUCACCUUCCAGGCUGUAUUGUGUGCACUUAUUAUUCUUGGAGCUGGUGGUGAUGUGACAACGAUAAAUGGGAAUGAAUGCGACUAUGUUAUUUUUGACCCUGGCUAUGUCCAGUUGGAGCAUCCUUCUCAGAUCAGAUGGUACAAGGGAGGCACGCUCUUAAAGCAGGGGACACAUGGCAGCACUGGGUACGGCCAGUGGCUUUGUGUCUUUCGUAACGGGACACUGGGGCUCCGCGUUGUUGGGAAGGAGGAUGCAGGACAGUACACAGCUAAGGUCUGCACCAGCUCCCAGCACUGCGUUCACCAAAGGACAUUUCAGUUACAUGUACAUGGAUACCUUGUCAGAGGGGUUGUAGGUGACUGCGUUGCUUUUCCCCUGGCCUGCCUGCGGUCAGCUGGGUACAUCCAUGCCAUCUGGAAGAAAGACGGACAGCGAGUGGCUCAGAUCAGAAGGAAAUCGGUGAACGCCUUAGAUGUCUACUGCAAGAGGGCCCAUGUGUUCUCCAACGGCAGCCUAAGUCUUUGCCCCACGGAAUGGAGAGAUCAGGGAGAGUAUGUAGCAGAAGUGUAUCAUCAGGAUGGCUUGCAUUUGCAUCAGAUUUUUCACCUGGAACUGAAGAAAGUGGAAAUACUUCAAGAUAUCACAGAAUUUAUGGGUGGAUCCAUAUUCCUGAAUCUAACAGAGAUGAUGCCGGAACACUUCUUCCAGGUAGUCUGGAAAAAGGAAAACACGGAAGUGGCUUGGACAAAUGGCUCUUGGUUUUGGUACCAUGGAGAAUACAUUAACAGGUCUGAGAUUGUGUCUAGUCACAGCCUGAGACUAGACAAGAUUGAGACAAGUGACCGUGGCAGGUAUUCUAUAGAAGUGAAAGACAGAGAUGGCAGAGUUGUGUACGAAGGCAUCACUAAUGUGAAUGUUGGUGAGUAUUGCUAAAAAAUGAAAAGCUUUCUUGGGUCCAGACUACAGACAGAAACCUGUCUGUGUAUUGGGUUAUGUAAGAGAUUGGGUACUGGAUUACCUACUGGAUUAUGUAAGAGAUGGCCCCAAAUGCACGAGCAGUCAUGUAAUUAGCAGAGAGAUGAAGCACAGACUUCCUGGGGUAAGCCUUGCUGGGUAAAGCUGGGCGUUCUUUUGCCAGUGCCUACUUCAGCCAGAGUGGCACAAGAUGUCGUUUGAGUUCUGUUACUCCGCUGUAUCUAGGAAAUACUGUGAGCUGUGAUAGAGGAAUGAGUUUCGGGGGGCCAGUAAAUGCUGUAUCUUUAAAUGAUUGCUGGUUUAAAUGUAUCAGAAGGGCUUUCAGGUGAAUUUGAGUUUAUGACUGUUCCCCAACUUGAGAACAGGUUCACCUGCACAUCUGCAGGGGUUCCUGUGGUGGGGAAAGCAGGAAACUCUCAAUGCAAUGCUGCUUAUGAUGAUGGUUUUGUUCUAAACUUCACAGCUUUUGUGAUGGAGAAACUGAACCAGAGGGAUAUAGGGAGACUCACAAGUUUAAGCGAGGUGUGUUGCAGUAGCAAACAACCUAGCAUGUGAAAAUAGCAUGCCAGCUAUUAUUACCACUACACCUUAUCAAUUUCUCAGUUGGUGGCAUAAGACAAAGAGCAGCUGGUGGCAGGUUGGCUGAGGUCUGUCCUAAUGCCUUGGAUUAGAGUGUCCUGUAUACGCCUUGUGAAAAGCGACCGCUUGGUUGCAGAUCACUUAAGGAAAGUCAGUAGGACAACCUCUAAUUUUAGAAGUCAGCUUUCUGAUAUUGUACUCACAGGUCAUAAGAAAAAUGAUUAAGAUCACAAAAGCUAGUGGUGUAGCUUCAACCUGCUGUACUGUAAAUGUUUUGACAACUAAAUUUUAAUUGUAGAGCAAAAGGACACACUUGGAAGAAAUCCUUCUCUUUAUGUUCUCAUAGCAUCGGCAGCUGUUAUAGUUACUAUUUUAUUGGUUGCACUGAUAAGGGGUUUUCAGAAGCCCGGGCACAGGACAGGUAAGAAAUCUCCUUCAAAACCUAAAUAGCCUAUUUAAAUAGUAAUUGAUGCAUAGAUCCAGUUCUCUGCAUUCAGGAGAUAUCUGACUGUGGGUUUUGGUGUGAGUUUGGUUCAGAGGAGCAGGCUGCAGCUUUACAUCGCUGUCAGUGCUGGUGACAGCACAUGGCUCUGCUGUAGGGACUGACCGCCUGAGGCCUUUCCACACUGAUGGGAGGAUUUUCAGCCCUGCUUGCCAAGGUCCGGUGUUGAGAGGCUGGUCCUGUGUCUGCAGGGUGGAUUUGUGGCAAGGCUUUAGGAGGUUGUGGCAGCUGCCGUUCUCCUGUUUGUGUGGUGUGUGGUCUGCUGAGAGCUGUGUUAUUAUUUAUUUAUUUAUUUUUCCUGUGGUGGGACAUUGACUGGUAGGAUAGGGCCUCAUAUCUCUGCUUGUGGGACUUGUGCCCUGCUGAACUCCCCUGGGUUUGGUCACUUCUGGGAGCACAGAGUUGGUGAGUGCAGGCAAGGGGAGGGACCCAUGUUUCCUCCUGAGCCGGUGAGCUGGGGCUGAAACCAAGGCAACCUUCCCAGGUGCCUGGCAGUGUUGCACAGUAUGGAUGAAGCUGGUUGCUGCUCCAUGUCCCUGUUAGCUCUGAGGCAUGUGUGAGUUUUUACCUCUACCUGAAGAUUUUUUGUUUUCUUGGUUCUGAGUAGCUCACCCCCAAAUGUGGGCAAGAUGGGAUGGAGAAUCUCCUUUCCCUGCUGCAAUGCCUAAUGGUAGGAGAGGGUGGAAAAGGGUGGUCUCCUGACAAGAAGCAGUUAUUGCCCCGCAGUGCUUUGCAGUCGAAAUGCAAAGUUGGCCCACCACAUAGGUAAUGAAGACAUAAGGUAGUUUGUCCUGUCUGGUAGGAAGGGGUAGGUAGUUACUUGAAAGGCUUAAAAGCUGAACAGAGGGGGAGGACUUCUCAGAAUCAUAACAUGGCUUGCGUUGGAAGGGACCUUAAACAUCACCCAGUUCCAACACCCUGCCAUGGGCAGGGACACCACCCACUAGACUAGGUUGUUCAGGGCCUCAACUAACCUGGUCUUGAACACCUCUCUGGGAAACCUGUUCCAGUACUUUACCACCCUUUGAGUGAAGAAUUUCCUCCUAUCCUCUAAUCUCUACUAAGUGAUAAGAUAUAGGGAAUUGAGCUAUAUGCAGACUAUGAAUUCUUUGACAGCUUUCUGCAAAUGCUUCAGGUAUAUUUGUCUGCUUUUAACUUGACUUGGUUUAACUCCUGGUUAGCAGUGCCAGUCCUACAGCAUUCAAGCUUGAGACUAAGAGAUGAUAGAGACUAUCCUGAGCAACAAGAACGGUCUGAAAAUGGUGAGUAUAUUUCAUUAUGUGCCUUCCUAUGGGUCACAGACAGGGAUCUAAGAGUGUAAUGUGGCUUGUCUGAGUUUGGGUUCAUGAGGCAUGAUUGUCUUAUGCAAGCAGAGUACUGUAAUCAAGGGGAACUUUUUCUAACAUAAAAACAUCUGAAAUUUGAAAGAUCCAAAGACAGCACUUUGAGCUGCCGACAGCAUUAAUACUAGGAUAAUUACAUGUGUGCUGCACUAAGACUAUGCAGAUAAUGAAAAACUAUCUAGAUAAUGAGUUGUUUCUGCAAUCUCAGAUCCUUCUUCUGCCCAGCGUAGUGGGCUGUGUUCUCUUUAACGCUGUGCAAACUUGUGGAUCUUGGUAGCUCCUCACUGCAUGGGGACUGCUGGUGCUUUUGCCUGUUCUUCCACUUGCUCUGCACAUUUGUUAGGCGUGACACUUUUUGGGCAGAGGGGCUUGUUCAGAUCAUGUAGGGCAGGUUUCUCUCCUGUCUUAACUGCAGCGAUCCUUCCAAUUUGCUGUUGGCCAGCAGUCCUGCUCCCACUAGCUCAGUAUGGAGGGAAAGAUCCAUUUGCAUGUUGCUGCCUCAGGCAUGACUGGGAUAUUCUGGGUGUUCUCCAUCUGUCAUCGCUGGGUGUGAGAAAGUCCAGAGCUGGGGCCCGUGCCAUCAGAAAGAAGAGGUACAAACUGAGCCAGGGUUUGUUUGCAGGGCGAGGGGAGUAGGCACCCCAGGAAGGCAGCAGGACUGUGGUAUCCCAAGGCCCUUACCUGUCCAGGUAGCAGAGUCCCCUGCGGUGGGGUCAGUCUGUGCUUGUGGGUGCCCCUGUGAAGCUGCAAGGGAGCGUGCACUGUGAGCUCUAGCUUGGAGUGUCAUGGUGUCUCUGCUGGCAGCUGGCCACUUGGUUACAACUCAUGUAAAGAAAAUCAGUGAGACAGCCUUUAAUUUAAGGCAGUCCUGUUCACACGUGUUCUUUGACUGCUUCUGCCACCAGUGCCAGCCUUUGCCACUUGCGGCCCUGUCUCUUUCCUGUGUUGUCUUCACUGUCUUGCCUAGUUGUUGGCAUUGAGGAGAUUUCUGUUCAACUGACUUUUUCCUCCAGCUGAAGAAAGACCCAAGUUGCCAAAGCUGAAAGGCAGGAAAGCUGCAGAGCCUCGUACUUCAGUUCACGAAGUGUGUGGCGUCCCCAGCGUUGAGAACAGCAUCCGUCCAGCAUUUGAGGACUGCAUUCCACCCGAUGUUGAUUAUCCCGCUCCCCCGGUGAUUGACAGUGCUCCUGCAGAAUCUGAGGAGUUCCCUCUUCCAGGGUUUGAGGACUCGAAAGACAAAGACUGUGCUGUUAAGGACAAUGCAUACCAUGCAUCUUCAAGGUGCAAAGCAUCCUGGAAAUGCAGUGAAAGAAGCAAACCCACUGUGUAUGCUUCGAUCAGAACAGGGUACGCAGAGGACAAGCCUGGAGAUUUGGAAUUGAGUUCUUACUAUCAGAUUUGCCAGGAAACAUGUUAACAGUAUUAGACUGAGGUUUGGAUUCUUCCCUUCUCUCAGCUGGCUUUGAGCUAACAUUGCAGUUCUGCUGUUGCUCAGAUGAAUCUGCUGCUUCACAUGCUUAGAAGAAUUGGUAGAAGCCUGAAGAGAAGUGUCUCUGGGGAUUAGCUUGUUUUCCAGUGAUAAGCCCUUCUCUACCCUUUGUGCUUCGGAAGGUCUUCCAGGAGGACCCCUUAGAAACUCCUUGGAGAAGAGGCAUGGUAACUAACUGUGAGAGGAGUUGAGCUGAGCCUCUGCCUCUUUGCUUCUGUUAAAAGGCCCCACUGAAGAAAAGCAGGACCUUGGGGAUGUCCGGAGGCCAUGUCAGGCCCAGACCUCAGUCCCCAUUUGUUGUGUGGUCCAUGCACCUGUGUAAAUGCACAGGGAAGAGGAUGAACACCCUAACAGCUUGUUGGACGUGGGCAGCUUGCCAAGCCUUCAUCUGAUGUAUGAUGGUACGAAAGGUGCAGUGUAACUCAGUAGACUUGGAUGUGAUUUCACUGUAGUGUUUGCUAGACAGCACAUUAAGGAACUUUUUAUUUAUUUUUUUUUUUUUAGGAGGAAAAAAGAAAUGCAGAGAAACCAGAACAUUGCUAGCAAAGGGGUAUAGCCAUAUCUGUAAUUAACAAGGCUGUUCAUUAACGGCAAUUAGAUGUGCUUUCUUCAAUACCUGUAUUAAAUUGAAUCUCAAAUGGCGUGUAGUAAUUUUUGUGAAUGUUUUUUGUAUUACAGCUGUAAGGUGCUGCUUGUAGGUUUCAUGAAAUAUCUUUCCUUAUGGAAUGCCGAAUAAAAGUAUUUUCUCUUAUAACUGAAGAGCUGUU
This 5715-nucleotide long non-coding RNA is filed under the name Anas platyrhynchos platyrhynchos (common mallard). RNAcentral describes it as "lncRNA (ENSAPLG00000021068.1)". The record is from RNAcentral. Lineage: Eukaryota; Metazoa; Chordata; Aves; Anseriformes; Anatidae.